RNAcentral lists this ribosomal RNA (358 nucleotides) under uncultured cyanobacterium. RNAcentral's name for it is "bacterial SSU rRNA". It matches the Rfam family "Bacterial small subunit ribosomal RNA", at positions 364 to 725 of the family's 1533-position model. The record is from RNAcentral. Lineage: Bacteria; Bacillati; Cyanobacteriota.
UUCCGCAAUGGGCGAAAGCCUGACGGAGCAAGACCGCGUGGGGGAAGAAGGCUCUUGGGUUGUAAACCCCUUUUCUCUGGGAAGAAAGUUGUGAAAGCAGCCUGACGGUACCAGAGGAAUCAGCAUCGGCUAACUCCGUGCCAGCAGCCGCGGUAAGACGGAGGAUGCAAGCGUUAUCCGGAAUGAUUGGGCGUAAAGCGUCCGCAGGUGGCAGUUCAAGUCUGCUGUCAAAGACCGGGGCUCAACCUCGGAAAGGCAGUGGAAACUGAACAGCUAGAGUAUGGUAGGGGCAAAGGGAAUUCCUGGUGUAGCGGUGAAAUGCGUAGAGAUCAGGAAGAACAUCGGUGGCGAAGGCGCU